Molecule: ribosomal RNA, 253 nt
Filed under: uncultured bacterium
Lineage: Bacteria
Description: partial 16S ribosomal RNA
Rfam family: Bacterial small subunit ribosomal RNA
Source: RNAcentral
UACAGGGGGGGCAAGCGUUGUUCGGAAUUACUGGGCGUAAAGGGCUCGUAGGCGGCCAACUAAGUCCGACGUGAAAUCCCAAAGCUUAACUUUGGAACUGCGUCGGAUACUGGAUGGCUUGAAUUCGGGAGAGGGAUGCAGAAUUCCAGGUGUAGCGGUGAAAUGCGUAGAUAUCUGGAGGAAUACCGGUGGCGAAGGCGGCAUCCUGGACCGACAUUGACGCUGAGGAGCGAAAGCCAGGGGAGCAAACGGG